GACGAACGCUGCGCGGUGCUAACACAUGCAAGUCGAACGGAGCACCUUUGGAAAGAGACUUACGGGUCAAUGGAUGAGACUGCUUAGUGGCGGACGGGUGAGUAACGCGUGAGGAACCUGCCUUUCAGAGGGGGACAACAGUUGGAAACGACUGCUAAUACCGCAUGAUGCAUGAUCAGGGCAUCCUGGACAUGCCAAAGAUUUAUCGCUGAAAGAUGGCCUCGCGUCUGAUUAGCUGGUUGGUGAGGUAACGGCCCACCAAGGCGACGAUCAGUAGCCGGACUGAGAGGUUGACCGGCCACAUUGGGACUGAGAUACGGCCCAG
RNAcentral lists this ribosomal RNA (325 nucleotides) under uncultured bacterium. RNAcentral describes it as "bacterial SSU rRNA". It matches the Rfam family "Bacterial small subunit ribosomal RNA", at positions 28 to 334 of the family's 1533-position model. The record is from RNAcentral.